AGCGGGUCAUGCCGGGGACUCAUGGGAGACUGCCGGGGUCAACUCGGAGAAGUGGGGAUGACGUCAAAUCAUCAUGCCCCUUAUGUCUUGGGCUUCACGCAUGCUACAAUGGCCGGUACAAAGGGCUGCGAUACCGCGAGGUGGAGCGAAUCCCAGAAAGCCGGUCUCAGUUCGGAUUGGGGUCUGCAACUCGACCCCAUGAAGUCGGAGUCGCUAGUAAUCGCAGAUCAGCAACGCUGCGGUGAAUACGUUCCCGGGCCUU
This 262-nucleotide ribosomal RNA is filed under the name uncultured Cellulomonas sp. RNAcentral's name for it is "partial 16S ribosomal RNA". It matches the Rfam family "Bacterial small subunit ribosomal RNA", at positions 1120 to 1382 of the family's 1533-position model. The record is from RNAcentral. Lineage: Bacteria; Bacillati; Actinomycetota; Actinomycetes; Micrococcales; Cellulomonadaceae.